AUUGAACGCUGGCGGCAGGCCUAACACAUGCAAGUCGAGCGGAUGACGGGAGCUUGCUCCUUGAUUCAGCGGCGGACGGGUGAGUAAUGCCUAGGAAUCUGCCUGGUAGUGGGGGACAACGUUUCGAAAGGAACGCUAAUACCGCAUACGUCCUACGGGAGAAAGCAGGGGACCUUCGGGCCUUGCGCUAUCAGAUGAGCCUAGGUCGGAUUAGCUUGUUGGUGAGGUAAUGGCUCACCAAGGCGACGAUCCGUAACUGGUCUGAGAGGAUGAUCAGUCACACUGGAACGGGGACACGGUCCAGCCUCCUACGGGAGUCAGCAGUGGGGAAUAUUGGACAAUGGGCGAAAGCCUGAUCCAGCCAUGCCGCGUGUGUGAAGAAGGUCUUCGGAUUGUAAAGCACUUUAAGUUGGGAGGAAGGGUUGUAGAUUAAUACUCUGCAAUUUUGACGUUACCGACAGAAUAAGCACCGGCUAACUCUGUGCCAGCAGCCGCCGUAA
This 500-nucleotide ribosomal RNA is filed under the name uncultured bacterium. Its description in RNAcentral is "partial 16S ribosomal RNA". It matches the Rfam family "Bacterial small subunit ribosomal RNA", at positions 30 to 523 of the family's 1533-position model. The record is from RNAcentral.